UGUGUUCCUGCUCGUCACUGGUUUAUGUUUUGCCACUCUUCCUUUUUAUUAGCUUAGCUUGAUCCCUAAGUUUCGUGUCGACCAGUUUUUUUGAAUCAGCUUUUCUGUUAAUAAAGCUAUUAAGAGUUGCCUCCAUUUUGCUCUGCAUGUUGGUCUUGGUGAAAGCAAUCCCCCUUCUUCCUCUACAGAACUAAUAUAUAUAUUGAUCUGUAUGUUAACAUGAUAACAACAGUAAACUUCAUUGAUCACACAGUGAAAUCCUCAACCUACCUGGCAGUUUUCAGCUUCAACAUUAAGAGUGCUCACCUCCCCUUUGCUGUUGAAGCCGAGGAUCUCGAAGCUGAUGCUGGAGGUGCGUCCGGUCUGGAUCUCGUGCAGGUGUCUGAAGAGGUUGAGCCGCGCUCGGCCUCGCCCGUUGUCCAGCUCGCCCUGCGUCAGGACGCCCAGCAGCGUCGACUUCCCCGAGUCCACGUUCCCCAGAACCGCCACCCGCAGGUCCAGGAACUGUCCCAGUCCAAAACAACAUGACGCAGGAGAGGGGUCACAGUCUACUCUCUACUAUAAGCCUGUUUAAAGGGAAGGCCUGCUGCUGCCUGCAGGUCUUGAGCGAGGCCCUCAUGUCGGCCUCGGUCAGGCCCACUAGAAGCCCGUUGUCCUCCACUCCAAUCUGAUAGACGGCCUCGCCGCGGCCCUCCUGCAGACGCCACUUCAGCUGCGUGGCCAGAUGCUCGAAGCGGUACUGGGUGGGAUUCACCAGCUUCAACUACAACAACAGCACCGAGAGAUGCAUUAUGGUACGGCAGGCUUCACCUACCUUGGGAUAAAAUUCUCACCAGACCUGACAGAGCUAUGGAAGCUUAACUUCUCUCCCAUAGCAAGUAAAAUAAAGAAGGACCUAGAUAGAUGGCACGAUCUACCCUUAUCCCUUAUGGGGCGCAUUAGCCUAAUCAAAAUGAAUGUAUUCCCCAGGUUAUUAUAUCCCCUACAAAUGCUACCCCUGUGGAUCUCCAAGAAGGUUGCUCUUGAUAUAGAGAGGGCAUUCUCUAGGUUCAUAUGGCAUGGCAAGAGGCCCAGACAGAAAAUGAAAACAUUACAGCUACCCUCAGACAGGGGAGGCCUGGGCCUGCCGAACAGAACUCUCUAUAACUGGGCAUGUCACGCUCGCUUCUAUGGGAAUGGUUACAUGCUCAUCUCGAAUCCAAGCCCUGUCUAGAUUCGUGGUCCGCUUUGCCGUCCUCACUUUGGAGCUUGGUCAUGGGUGAUAAGAAAAAGCUACAUAGGGAUGUCAAGAAUAACCCAAUUAUAUACAACACAAUUAGAGUGUGGCAAGAAAUCUGUAAAUGUAUGGGCAGAGGAGGUCAUACCUCAUGCCUGACCCCUCUUACGAGGAACCAGGAUUUCCCCCCAGGUCUCCUUCCCAAUAUUUUUGACAUGUGGCAUGGCAAUGGGGCGCGUGUGAUUGGAGACCUAUACGACAAUAGGAUGUUAAUGACUUUCCAACAACUGCAGUCCAAAUUCAGUAUUCCCACAAAACAUCAUUUUGGCUUUCUCCAGGUCAGGCACUUUGUUGGAUCCAGGACCUUACUCUCUCUUGACCCAGUCAUGUACAGUGAUGUUGAGAGGUUCCUUAUUUCCCGUAAAGGUCUCACCUGUUUUAUCUCUUCCUUCUAUGCACUGCUAUACUCUCUUAGUCCAGGUCAUAUCACAAGCAUUGCACAGAAAUGGGAGAAAGAUCUUGACACAGAGUAUAUUGAGGAUGACUGGCAGGAGGCCAUUGUAGUAUUUAAAUCCACCUUUACAUGUAAUAGAUUGAGAGACACAGUAUAAAAUAUCACACCGUCUACACCUGACUCCUUACAUACUAAAUAAGAUGGACCGUCAGGUUUCACCUCUGUAUCAAGUGUCAUAGAGGGGUAGGAACAUAUUACCAUUACUUCUGGCAAUGCAAAUUGAUAAAAAGAUUUUGGGGAACGAUCUCACAGGAACGGCAUCUUUCAAGCAAAGGUGAAGAGGGACCCUGGCCUUUUCAUCCUCGGCCUCCCCUCAAAGGAGGUGACUCUAACCCGUUUGAAGUUCAAACUAUGCGACAAAUUACUACUAUUGGCCAGAAAAUGUAUUUUAAUUAACUGGAUCAAUGAUAAACCACCUACUGUCACCUUAUGGUAUAGGGAAAUAUUCCGAGUCCUCCCCCAUGAACGACUUAGUGCAGUUGUGAAGGGUAAUGAGGGGUCCUUUAGUGAGGUGUGGGCUCCUCUGCUCAACUAUCUACCUGACGAAUUGACUCAUCUAGUGAUGAGGGGCCAGUCUUCCUUACAAUGGCCACGCCCACCUGAUAUAAAUCCGUAAGGGUCUUUUCUUACAGUGUGGCACUUACUGCUUGAUGUAUCACUGUUUACUGUUUACUUGAUGUAUCACUGUUUAUUGUGGGAUGCUGAUGUGACUGGGACUACAUUAUUGGGAGAUGUGUGUGUAUAUAGAGCAAUAUGAGGAGGGUGCCUGCUUGCACUGCGGGGGCAGAUGGGGGGCAGUUAACUGGAAGGUUUGCCUGCUAAGGAUAGA
This is a long non-coding RNA of Eleginops maclovinus (Patagonian blennie), 2559 nucleotides long. RefSeq lists it as uncharacterized. NCBI's taxonomy places the organism in Eukaryota, Metazoa, Chordata, Actinopteri, Perciformes, Eleginopidae. The record is from RefSeq and is a predicted model, not a curated record. The transcript has 4 exons.